RNAcentral lists this ribosomal RNA (800 nucleotides) under uncultured Flavobacterium sp. Its description in RNAcentral is "bacterial SSU rRNA". It matches the Rfam family "Bacterial small subunit ribosomal RNA", at positions 9 to 808 of the family's 1533-position model. The record is from RNAcentral. Lineage: Bacteria; Pseudomonadati; Bacteroidota; Flavobacteriia; Flavobacteriales; Flavobacteriaceae.
GAGUUUGAUCCUGGCUCAGGAUGAACGCUAGCGGCAGGCCUAACACAUGCAAGUCGAGGGGUAGAAUUAGCUUGCUAAUUUGAGACCGGCGCACGGGUGCGUAACGCGUAUGCAAUCUGCCUUGUACUGAGGGAUAGCCCAGAGAAAUUUGGAUUAAUACCUCAUAGUAUUAUGAUGUGGCAUCACAUUAUAAUUAAAGUUCCAACGGUACAAGAUGAGCAUGCGUCCCAUUAGUUAGUUGGUAAGGUAACGGCUUACCAAGACGAUGAUGGGUAGGGGUCCUGAGAGGGAGAUCCCCCACACUGGUACUGAGACACGGACCAGACUCCUACGGGAGGCAGCAGUGAGGAAUAUUGGUCAAUGGGCGCAAGCCUGAACCAGCCAUGCCGCGUGCAGGAUGACGGUCCUAUGGAUUGUAAACUGCUUUUAUACGGGAAGAAACACUGCUACGUGUAGCAGCUUGACGGUACCGUAAGAAUAAGGAUCGGCUAACUCCGUGCCAGCAGCCGCGGUAAUACGGAGGAUCCAAGCGUUAUCCGGAAUCAUUGGGUUUAAAGGGUCCGUAGGCGGCUUUAUAAGUCAGUGGUGAAAGCCCAUCGCUUAACGAUGGAACGGCCAUUGAUACUGUAGAGCUUGAAUUACUUGGAAGUAACUAGAAUAUGUAGUGUAGCGGUGAAAUGCUUAGAUAUUACAUGGAAUACCAAUUGCGAAGGCAGGUUACUACAAGUGGAUUGACGCUGAUGGACGAAAGCGUGGGGAGCGAACAGGAUUAGAUACCCUGGUAGUCCACGCCGUAAACG